This 28-nucleotide small RNA is filed under the name Bombyx mori (domestic silkworm). RNAcentral describes it as "ovarian small RNA-30969". Lineage: Eukaryota; Metazoa; Arthropoda; Insecta; Lepidoptera; Bombycidae. The record is from RNAcentral.
UGAAGGUAUCUAAUGCAAAAGUUAUUGG